This 468-nucleotide ribosomal RNA is filed under the name uncultured bacterium. RNAcentral describes it as "partial 16S ribosomal RNA". It matches the Rfam family "Bacterial small subunit ribosomal RNA", at positions 28 to 507 of the family's 1533-position model. The record is from RNAcentral.
GACGAACGCUGGCGGCGUGCUUAACACAUGCAAGUCGAACGGAAAGGCCCUGCUUUUGUGGGGUGCUCGAGUGGCGAACGGGUGAGUAACACGUGAGUAACCUGCCCUUGACUUUGGGAUAACUUCAGGUAACUGGGGCUAAUACCGGAUAGGAUCUCCUGCUGCAUGGUGGGGGUUGGAAAGUUUCGGCGGUUGGGGAUGGACUCGCGGCUUAUCAGCUUGUUGGUGGGGUAGUGGCUUACCAAGGCUUUGACGGGUAGCCGGCCUGAGAGGGUGACCGGCCACAUUGGGACUGAGAUACGGCCCAGACUCCUACGGGAGGCAGCAGGGGGGAAUAUUGCACAAUGGGCGGAAGCCUGAUGCAGAAACGCCGCGUGCGGGAUGACGGCCUUCGGGUUGUAAACCGCUUUCGCCUGUGACGAAGCGUGAGUGACGGUAAUGGGUAAAGAAGCACCGGCUAACUACGUG